This 85-nucleotide transfer RNA is filed under the name Prevotella sp. Its description in RNAcentral is "tRNA-Leu". It matches the Rfam family "tRNA". Rfam says of the family: Transfer RNA (tRNA) molecules are approximately 80 nucleotides in length. RNAcentral also lists the same sequence under 5 other names. Lineage: Bacteria; Pseudomonadati; Bacteroidota; Bacteroidia; Bacteroidales; Prevotellaceae. The record is from RNAcentral.
GCCCAGAUGGCGGAAUCGGUAGACGCGCUGGUCUCAAACACCAGUGGGGCAACCCGUGCCGGUUCGACCCCGGCUCUGGGUACCA